GACGAACGCUGGCGGCGUGCUUAACACAUGCAAGUCGAACGGAAAGGCCCUGCUUUUGUGGGGUGCUCGAGUGGCGAACGGGUGAGUAACACGUGAGUAACCUGCUCUUGACUUUGGGAUAACUUCAGGAAACUGGGGCUAAUACCGGAUCGGAGCUCCUGCUGCAUGGUGGGGGUUGGAAAGUUUCGGCGGUUGGGGCUGGACUCGCGGCUUAUCAGCUUGUUGGUGGGGUAGUGGCUUACCAAGGCUUUGACGGGUAGCCGGCCUGGGAGGGUGACCGGCCACAUUGGGACUGCGAUACGGCCCAGUCUCCUACGGGAGGCAGCAGUGGGGAAUAUUGCACAAUGGGCGGAAGCCUGAUGCAGCAACGCCGCGUGCGGGAUGACGGCCUUCGGGUUGUAAACCGCUUUCGCCUGUGACGAAGCGUGAGUGACGGUAAUGGGUAAAGAAGCACCGGCUAACUACGUG
This 468-nucleotide ribosomal RNA is filed under the name uncultured bacterium. Its description in RNAcentral is "partial 16S ribosomal RNA". It matches the Rfam family "Bacterial small subunit ribosomal RNA", at positions 28 to 507 of the family's 1533-position model. The record is from RNAcentral.